Molecule: unclassified non-coding RNA, 1099 nt
Filed under: Hevea brasiliensis (rubber tree)
Lineage: Eukaryota; Viridiplantae; Streptophyta; Magnoliopsida; Malpighiales; Euphorbiaceae
Source: RNAcentral
GCAAGUAUCAGCUAAUAUCCAUGCAUUUCAUGCAAAACGAAUACGGCAACCAACAAUGAAACUACAACACUGCUCCAGAUUUUUUACACAGGACAUUUACAAGGACUCAUCAUCAAUACAAAUUUCCGAAUCCCAUGGCUUCCCCAAGUCUGUAACUAAUGCAACUCAGAAACAUUGGAUUAUAUUAAACAGCCAGCAAAUCUGCAUUUCCAUUUCACAAGAGAUAGAGAAAGAGAGAUUCUUCCAACUAAUAAACACCAAUAUUAACUAUCUAGCUCCCUCUAGCCAUCUUCUUCAGAAAUGUUAAACAAGAACUUUGGAAGAGAUGCAAUACGAGGGAGAUGAAGCAGCAGCUCCCCAAAUGAGUCUUUCCUCGACAUGCCUGGUGCUUGCUUGCUGCCAGAAACAUCCUUCAUAUUCAUUUCAGGGUCCUUUGUAUCAGCUUUACUCUUGUUCUCUUGCAACAAUUCAUUAGUGCUGUUUAGCUGAACCCCUUUCCCAUUGCCUGAUUCUCCAAUACAACCUUCAUUAUUAACUUGCAAGUUCUGGGUUGAAGCAGGGUCCUUCUGCAAGAGACAACAGAGAGAAUUGACCCUAGCCAUGAGCCUUUUCUCAUCAGAGGAUGUAGUUAGUUGGGUGUCACUAAGAAGGUACUGUGCAAUGUCCUCUAGUAUGUCCUGGCAUUCUGAUCCAUCUGUAGAGAAUGGUGGAUUUCCAGAGGUCAUUUGUUCUGAAAUACAGUUCCCAAUGUGAUUCAUGAGAUCACUCAUUGACACAGAUGAGUGCAAGCCGGGCACUUUGAUCUGAUCCCAAUUCCUUGGCCCCUUUGAAUCAACAGCUUCACAAAUUCCACUCCCUUCAAUUGCACGAGUAUCCAUCACUGAGCUGGGAGAAGGAGCUUCUCGGGACAUGCGCUCUGAUGAUGUACCAGCAUGAUCCUCCUUUUCAGUCUCUAAGGAAGAUGAGUGAGCCACAGAUGGUGAUGCUAGAUCUUGGAAACCAGAAAUAGAGGAUCCAUUACCAGUCUCUGCUUGAUUAAGAUCUUGACUUUUUGAUUCAUCUGGAUCCUUAAAAACAGAUGAACAUUGCUCAAAAUAUG